RNAcentral lists this ribosomal RNA (227 nucleotides) under uncultured bacterium. RNAcentral's name for it is "partial 16S ribosomal RNA". It matches the Rfam family "Bacterial small subunit ribosomal RNA", at positions 118 to 346 of the family's 1533-position model. The record is from RNAcentral.
UGAGCAAUCUGCCCUUCUCAUCGGAAUAAGCGUUGGAAACGAUGUCUAAUGCCGAAUACGACCUCCUUUCGCAUGAUCGGAGGUGGAAAGCUCCGGCGGAGAAGGAUGAGCUCGCGGCCUAUCAGCUAGUUGGUGUGGGUAAUGGCCCACCAAGGCGACGACGGGUAGCCGGCCUGAGAGGGUGACCGGCCACACUGGGACUGAGACACGGCCCAGACUCCGUAGGA